CUUGCUUCUCUUGAGAGCGGCGGACGGGUGAGUAAUGCCUAGGAAUCUGCCUGGUAGUGGGGGAUAACGUUCGGAAACGGACGCUAAUACCGCAUACGUCCUACGGGAGAAAGCAGGGGACCUUCGGGCCUUGCGCUAUCAGAUGAGCCUAGGUCGGAUUAGCUAGUUGGUGGGGUAAUGGCUCACCAAGGCGACGAUCCGUAACUGGUCUGAGAGGAUGAUCAGUCACACUGGAACUGAGACACGGUCCAGACUCCUACGGGAGGCAGCAGUGGGGAAUAUUGGACAAUGGGCGAAAGCCUGAUCCAGCCAUGCCGCGUGUGUGAAGAAGGUCUUCGGAUUGUAAAGCACUUUAAGUUGGGAGGAAGGGUUGUAGAUUAAUACUCUGCAAUUUUGACGUUACCGACAGAAUAAGCACCGGCUAACUCUGUGCCAGCAGCCGCGGUAAUACAGAGGGUGCAAGCGUUAAUCGGAAUUACUGGGCGUAAAGCGCGCGUAGGUGGUUUGUUAAGUUGGAUGUGAAAUCCCCGGGCUCAACCUGGGAACUGCAUUCAAAACUGACUGACUAGAGUAUGGUAGAGGGUGGUGGAAUUUCCUGUGUAGCGGUG
RNAcentral lists this ribosomal RNA (608 nucleotides) under uncultured bacterium. Its description in RNAcentral is "bacterial SSU rRNA". It matches the Rfam family "Bacterial small subunit ribosomal RNA", at positions 79 to 683 of the family's 1533-position model. The record is from RNAcentral.